AUUGAACGCUGGCGGCAGGCCUAACACAUGCAAGUCGAGCGGAUGAAGGGAGCUUGCUCCUGGAUUCAGCGGCGGACGGGUGAGUAAUGCCUAGGAAUCUGCCUGGUAGUGGGUGAUAACGUCCGGAAACGGGCGCUAAUACCGCAUACGUCCUGAGGGAGAAAGUGGGGGAUCUUCGGACCUCACGCUAUCAGAUGAUCCUAGGUCGGAUUAUCUAGUUGGUGGGGUAAAGGCCUACCAAGGCGACGAUCCGUAACUGGUCUGAGAGGAUGAUCAGUCACACUGGAACUGAGACACGGUCCAGACUCCUACGGGAGGCAGCAGUGGGGAAUAUUGGACGCUGGGCGAAAGCCUGAUCCAGCCAUGCCGCGUGUGUGAAGAAGGUCUUCGGAUUGUAAAGCACUUUAAGUUGGGAGGAAGGGCAGUAAGUUAAUACAUUGCUGUUUUGACGUUACCAACAGAAUAAGCACCGGCUAACUUCGUG
RNAcentral lists this ribosomal RNA (484 nucleotides) under uncultured bacterium. RNAcentral describes it as "partial 16S ribosomal RNA". It matches the Rfam family "Bacterial small subunit ribosomal RNA", at positions 30 to 507 of the family's 1533-position model. The record is from RNAcentral.